UGAAAAGAGACAUCCGCUCCCUCUCACACGCUGAGGGGGAGGCAUUCGCGUUUCCCCAAAUGAGAAAGAACCACAAGAAAUCAUGAAGUAAAAACUUUGGAAAGCUGCCACUGGAGAUGUUGCACAAAAACCUGGAAUCUUUUAGGAGUCUCCUCCCAGUCGUUGAAGGUUUGGGGAGCAGCUGAUACAGCAAGGAGGGCUCUUGCAAGGAUUCAAGACUAAACCCCAGCUCCGCCUCACGCAAGUGGAGCAACCAAGUGUGAGACACUGAGAUCCUGG
This 279-nucleotide long non-coding RNA is filed under the name Homo sapiens (human). Its description in RNAcentral is "HSALNT0017958". Lineage: Eukaryota; Metazoa; Chordata; Mammalia; Primates; Hominidae. The record is from RNAcentral.